AUGACAGCCUGUUGCACCAGUCACAGGAGUACCAUCUACACGAAGUCCAGUAAGAACGGCCACAUCCUUCAAGAGCACGGCCAUCUCCCCAAACCGCAAGUGGAAGGUCUGUGUUUCACGCCGCCACCUUUCGACCAAAGCAUUCAACAAAGCAUGGUCCAACUGAACCCUCUUCAAGAAACACAGGUGGUAAAAUCCAGCUCGCUGCAAUAUCGCAAGCAUUCCCUCAUGCUUCACCUCCCAUUGGUUAAGUCUUGUGCCAUGUUCGAUAAACCUAAUAGGUUUGUACGCCUGCAUUUUUUAGCCCAAGUGGGCAACAGCAGAAGAGUGUCAAUACCUUACUGGAGCAUCUUUACAGAAAAACAUAAGGAAAACCUCUAA
RNAcentral lists this ribosomal RNA (381 nucleotides) under Triticum aestivum (bread wheat). RNAcentral describes it as "partial small subunit ribosomal RNA". Lineage: Eukaryota; Viridiplantae; Streptophyta; Magnoliopsida; Poales; Poaceae. The record is from RNAcentral.